RNAcentral lists this microRNA precursor (76 nucleotides) under Ovis aries (sheep). RNAcentral's name for it is "miRNA (ENSOARG00000024189.1)". The record is from RNAcentral. Lineage: Eukaryota; Metazoa; Chordata; Mammalia; Artiodactyla; Bovidae.
GAUUGGCCAAAAUGUCCAUCUGGGUUUUUCUGGAAGAUGGCAUAGGAGAACCUGAAUGAACUUUUUGGCCAACCCA